Molecule: ribosomal RNA, 786 nt
Filed under: uncultured Actinomycetes bacterium
Lineage: Bacteria; Bacillati; Actinomycetota; Actinomycetes
Description: bacterial SSU rRNA
Rfam family: Bacterial small subunit ribosomal RNA
Source: RNAcentral
UCGAGCGAUGAAGUUUCUUCGGAAAUGGAUUAGCGGCGAACGGGUGAGGAACACGUGAAGAAUCUGCCCUCCACUUUGGGAUAACACAGGGAAACCUGUGCUAAUACCGAAUAUUGAAACAUAAGUGGCAUCACUGAGUUUUGAAAGAAUUUCGGUGGAGGAUGACUUCGCGGCCUAUCAGCUAGUUGGUGAGGUAAUGGCUCACCAAGGCAACGACGGGUAGCCGGCCUGAGAGGGCGACCGGCCACACUGGGACUGAGACACGGCCCAGACUCCUACGGGAGGCAGCAGUGGGGAAUAUUGGGCAAUGGAGGAAACUCUGACCCAGCGACGCCGCGUGCGGGAUGAAGGCCUUCGGGUUGUAAACCGCUUUCAGUAGGGAAGAAGCGAAAGUGACGGUACCUACAAAAGAAGCACCGGCUAACUAUGUGCCAGCAGCCGCGGUAAUACAUAGGGUGCAAGCGUUGUCCGGAAUUAUUGGGCGUAAAGAGCUCGUAGGUUGUUUGUUACGUCGGAUGUGAAAACCUGAGGCUCAACCUCAGGCCUGCAUUCGAUACGGGCAAACUAGAGUUUGGUAGGGGAGACUGGAAUUCCUGGUGUAGCGGUGGAAUGCGCAGAUAUCAGGAGGAACACCAAUGGCGAAGGCAGGUCUCUGGGCCAAUACUGACACUGAGGAGCGAAAGUCUGGGGAGCGAACAGGAUUAGAUACCCUGGUAGUCCAGACCGUAAACGGUGGGCACUAGUUGUGGGGACCUUCCACGGUUUCUGCGACGCAGCUAACGCAUU